AGAGUGAACGCUGGCGGUAGGCCUAACACAUGCAAGUCGAACGGCAGCACAGUGGUAGCAAUACCAUGGGUGGCGAGUGGCGGACGGGUGAGGAAUACAUCGGAAUCUACCUUUUCGUGGGGGAUAACGUAGGGAAACUUACGCUAAUACCGCAUACGCCCUUUGGGGGAAAGCCGGGGAUCGCAAGACCUGGCGCGGAUAGAUGAGCCGAUGUCGGAUUAGCUAGUUGGUGAGGUAAUGGCUCACCAAGGCGACGAUCCGUAGCUGGUCUGAGAGGAUGAUCAGCCACACUGGAACUGAGACACGGUCCAGACUCCUACGGGAGGCAGCAGUGGGGAAUAUUGGACAAUGGGCGCAAGCCUGAUCCAGCCAUACCGCGUGGGUGAAGAAGGCCUUCGGUUGUAAAGCCCUUUGUUGGAAGAAAGCAAUCGGUUAAUACCCGGUUGUUCUGACGGUACCAAAGAAUAAGACACCGGCUAACUCGUCGCCAGCAGCCGCGGUAAUCUA
RNAcentral lists this ribosomal RNA (507 nucleotides) under uncultured soil bacterium. RNAcentral describes it as "bacterial SSU rRNA". It matches the Rfam family "Bacterial small subunit ribosomal RNA", at positions 26 to 527 of the family's 1533-position model. The record is from RNAcentral.